UCAUGAUUAUGUGAUAGGUGGUGCAUGGCCGUUCUUAGUUCGUGGAGUGAUCUGUCUGCUUAAUUGCGUUUCACUUAUUUUAUAGGAUCUAAUAUUAAUGAUGUGUGAGCGACUCGCAUGCUCUUGACCCACACUUGUUUACUCAAGUGGUCCGUGCGUCAUUAUAGGCUUUUGCUUGACCUCCCAUCUUUUAGCUAUCCUUUGAAAGCAACGAACGUGACCGCAACCUCUUGUUGCCUUCGUUUAACAUCCUACUGG
This 258-nucleotide ribosomal RNA is filed under the name Tenuitellita iota. Its description in RNAcentral is "Tenuitella iota partial small subunit ribosomal RNA". The record is from RNAcentral. Lineage: Eukaryota; Foraminifera; Rotaliida; Candeinidae.